UGAAGAUGGUGAAAUGCUAGAGUGAAUUUUAAUGUAUAUAGUCAUCUUUGCUUUGGUGUAUAGCUUUAUUUUUCUGAGGAAUUUGGAAUCGAAAUCCUACCUGGCCUCUGGAGCUGUCUGUAAUCUGUGAAUGGCAAACCACUGAUUUUCAGGUUUUAAAUUCAGCUAGGAUGUUUACUUUAACAAACCAAACAUACUAAUGAAUGGUUAAGGCUCAAAAUAUAGACUAAGUUGAAGACUAAACCCAAGCCCCUCUUUUGUCAGUACCCAUUUCCGCAACUGGUGCAUAAACUUCUCACUUGUUCCCAACCUUGGAAAACCGGCCUAUCUCUUGCCUGUACAGAAUAAACGCACUCUAUGCAGUCAAACACCACUUCAGAAUUUAUGUUAGGACAUAUAUAUUUUUUUAAUAUUUUUCUGCUCCACCAUUGAUGAAUGAUGAUAUAUCAGGCCUAAGUCUAAAAAGUUAUUUAAACGCUACCUGUAGUAAUACAUGGACUUUUGAAACCCACGCACCCUCUAAUGAGCGAAGUGCUGAAGUCACAACUGAACCAUAUCACAUGUUAUACAGCCUAUAAACAAAUCACUAAUUAUAUGAGAGAUCAAGUUUAUCUAUCUUGGAAAUCUUGAUAUCAAAGUAAUGGUGUAUGAAAGAAAACAAACUAGUGCACAAUUGAAAUAGAAAACUCAGCUUAGCUGCCUGCAAAUGUGAACCUGUUUGCAACUUUUAAAAAAUAAUAGACAUAGCAUUGCCAUCACUUUUCAGCAUUAGGUCAGUGAUUAUGGGUGUUUGGUUUGAGGAUUGAGUUAGUCCAUUAUCUUCUCACUCCUCACUUUUUUGUUCAGUUUGUGGAAUGGAACGGGUUGAUCCAUCAUCACUCCAUUCCAACAAGCUAAUAAUUAGUACUACUAUGAGAAACGGAGUCAUUCCACCAAAAUUGAUGAAUCAACUUAUAUGAUGCACCACCUCAUCUGGAAUGAUGUGAUUCCUUAAACCAAACACUAGUAUCACGCUUGACAUCUCAAUUAAGGGACACCCAGAGUUAAGGCUAGUGCAGCAAUUACACUAAGCACAUUAGGCUGUAAUCAUUGGCCCUAAGCCCCUAACAAUAAUACAGCUACGAAAACGAAUAAAUCAAUAUGGCAACUGAACUAUGUUAUGAAACGCAAAUGCUAAUCGCCGCCCACGAGCUACACGGUGCCACAGCACGCAGCUCGACCAAACCCAAAGAAUGAAGUGCAGAGAGCAACAGCCCUCACAUAC
This 1264-nucleotide long non-coding RNA is filed under the name Sorghum bicolor (sorghum). RNAcentral describes it as "long non-coding RNA (SBIC_LNC001612)". The record is from RNAcentral. Lineage: Eukaryota; Viridiplantae; Streptophyta; Magnoliopsida; Poales; Poaceae.